RNAcentral lists this ribosomal RNA (497 nucleotides) under uncultured bacterium. Its description in RNAcentral is "partial 16S ribosomal RNA". It matches the Rfam family "Bacterial small subunit ribosomal RNA", at positions 28 to 507 of the family's 1533-position model. The record is from RNAcentral.
GAUGAACGCUGGCGGCGUGCCUAAUACAUGCAAGUCGAGCGAACAGAUGAGGAGUUUGCUCCUCUGACGUUAUCACCGGACGGGUGAGUACCACGUGGACAACCCACCUAUAAGACUGGUAUAAUUUCGGCAAACCGGCGCUAAUACCGGAUAAUUUAUCGACCUUCAUGGUUCCAUAGUGAAAGACGGUUUUGCUGUCACUUACAGAUCGACCCGCGCCGCAUUAGCUAGUUGGUAAGGUAACGGCUUACCCACGCAAGGAUGCGUAGCCGACCCGAGCGGGAGAUCGGGUAGACGGGACGUGAGAAUCAGUCCAGACACCGGCGGGAGGCAACGGUAGGGAAUCUUCCGCAAUGGGCGAAAGGGUGACGGAGCAACGCCGCGGGAGGGAUGAAGGACUUCGGAUGGGAAAACGAUGAUAGUAGGAAGAAUCAAAUAUGUUUGUAACGAUGCACGUCUUGACGGUACCUAAACAGAAAGCCACGGCUAACUACGUG